UACGAAGGGGGGCUAGCGUUGCUCGGAAUCACUGGGCGUAAAGGGUGCGUAGGCGGGUCUUUUAAGUCAGGGGUGAAAUCCUGGAGCUCAACUCCAGAACUGCCUUUGAUACUGAGGAUCUUGAGUUCGGGAGAGGUGAGUGGAACUGCGAGUGUAGAGGUGAAAUUCGUAGAUAUUCGCAAGAACACCAGUGGCGAAGGCGGCUCACUGGCCCGAUACUGACGCUGAGGC
This 231-nucleotide ribosomal RNA is filed under the name uncultured bacterium. Its description in RNAcentral is "partial 16S ribosomal RNA". It matches the Rfam family "Bacterial small subunit ribosomal RNA", at positions 524 to 752 of the family's 1533-position model. The record is from RNAcentral.